GACGAACGCUUGCGGCGUGCCUAAGAAAUGCAAGUCGAACGGACAUUCUCUUCGGAGGGUGUUAGUGGCGAACGGUCGCGUAACACGUAAGCAACCUGCCUCAAAGUGGGGGACAACAGACCGAAAGGUCUGCUAAUACCGCAUGUGAACAAUCUUGGGCAUCUUGGAUUGUUUAAAGCCUUGUGCGCUUUGAGAUGGGCUUGCGGCCUAUCAGGUAGUUGGUGGGGUAACGGCCUACCAAGCCGACGACGGGUAGCUGGUCUGAGAGGACGAUCAG
RNAcentral lists this ribosomal RNA (277 nucleotides) under uncultured bacterium. Its description in RNAcentral is "partial 16S ribosomal RNA". It matches the Rfam family "Bacterial small subunit ribosomal RNA", at positions 28 to 307 of the family's 1533-position model. The record is from RNAcentral.